GGGGAUAUUGCACAAUGGGCGAAAGCCUGAUGCAGCGACGCCGCGUGAGGGAAGACGGUCUUCGGAUUGUAAACCUCUGUCUUUGGGGAAGAAGAUGACGGUACCCAAAGAGGAAGCUCCGGCUAACUACGUGCCAGCAGCCGCGGUAAUACGUAGGGAGCGAGCGUUGUCCGGAAUUACUGGGUGUAAAGGGAGCGUAGGCGGGGAUGCAAGUUGGAUGUUUAAACUAUCGGCUCAACCGGUAAUUGCAACCAAAACUGCAACUCUUGAGUGAAGUAGAGGCAGGCGGAAUUCCUAGUGUAGCGGUGAAAUGCGUAGAUAUUAGGAGGAACACCAGUGGCGAAGGCGGCCUGCUGGGCUUUAACUGACGCUGAGGCUCGAAAGCGUGGGGAGCAAACAGG
Molecule: ribosomal RNA, 401 nt
Filed under: uncultured bacterium
Lineage: Bacteria
Description: bacterial SSU rRNA
Rfam family: Bacterial small subunit ribosomal RNA
Source: RNAcentral